UAACAAGGUUUCCGUAGGUGAACCUGCGGACCAGCAGAGAGACCUGUGAACACGUGUUUAACAUGAACGAUGUCUCGUCGGGCUGACGACGAGUUGAAACAUAACCAAAAACAACUCUCAGCAACGGAUAUCUUGGCUCUUGCAACGAUGAAGAACGCAGCGAAAUGCGAUACGUAGUGUGAAUUGCAGAAUUCCGCGAAUCAUCGAGUCUUUGAACGCAAGUUGCGCCCGAGGCUUGUCCGAGGGCAUUUCCGCUAGAGCGUCACCGCGCCCCCCACCGAUCCGCUCCCGCCGCGAGGCGCCAGUCGGGUCGAGUGCAAGUGGCCGUCCCGGCGAAGUGGCCUUCUUUCACGAGGAGUCCGUACUUGGAAGGGUCGGCUGAGAUGGAUGGAAUUGGGCCGCCGUGGUGACACAGUCCGCGAUCGGGUGAUUUUGUCGCGAGCCUCCCCCGGGAGGCUCUUGGUGAAUUUUUCUAAGUGGUUGGCUGCGUCCCCCAGUUGGCUCGGGUUACCUCAUGCAGGUCGAGCGCGCCCCCGCGGCGCGCGUCACGCAUCAGACCUCUAAUCGGAAAAGACUACCCGCUGAG
This 586-nucleotide ribosomal RNA is filed under the name embryophyte environmental sample. RNAcentral's name for it is "eukaryotic LSU rRNA". The stretch from base 113 to 265 matches the Rfam family "5.8S ribosomal RNA". The record is from RNAcentral. Lineage: Eukaryota; Viridiplantae; Streptophyta.